AUUGAACGCUGGCGGCAGGCCUAACACAUGCAAGUCGAACGGUAACAGGAAGAAGCUUGCUUCUUUGCUGACGAGUGGCGGACGGGUGAGUAAUGUCUGGGAAACUGCCUGAUGGAGGGGGAUAACUACUGGAAACGGUAGCUAAUACCGCAUAACGUCGCAAGACCAAAGAGGGGGACCCUCGGGCCUCUUGCCAUCGGAUGUGCCCAGAUGGGAUUAGCUAGUAGGUGGGGUAACGGCUCACCUAGGCGACGAUCCCUAGCUGGUCUGAGAGGAUGACCAGCCACACUGGAACUGAGACACGGUCCAGACUCCUACGGGAGGCAGCAGUGGGGAAUAUUGCACAAUGGGCGCAAGCCUGAUGCAGCCAUGCCGCGUGUAUGAAGAAGGCCUUCGGGUUGUAAAGUACUUUCAGCGGGGAGGAAGGGAGUAAAGUUAAUACCUUUACUCAUUGACGUUACCCGCAGAAGAAGCACCGGCUAACUCCGUG
RNAcentral lists this ribosomal RNA (490 nucleotides) under uncultured bacterium. RNAcentral's name for it is "partial 16S ribosomal RNA". It matches the Rfam family "Bacterial small subunit ribosomal RNA", at positions 30 to 507 of the family's 1533-position model. The record is from RNAcentral.